This 439-nucleotide ribosomal RNA is filed under the name uncultured delta proteobacterium. Its description in RNAcentral is "bacterial SSU rRNA". It matches the Rfam family "Bacterial small subunit ribosomal RNA", at positions 9 to 433 of the family's 1533-position model. Lineage: Bacteria; Deltaproteobacteria. The record is from RNAcentral.
GAGUUUGAUCAUGGCUCAGAGCGAACGUUAGCGGCAGGCCUAACACAUGCAAGUCGCACGAGAAUCCGGUUUCGGCCGGUAGUAAAGUGGCGGACGGGUGAGUAACACGUGGAUAAUCUGCCCUUCGGCGGGGGACAACAGUCCGAAAGGAUUGCUAAUACCGCAUACGUCAGCGAGCUCUUCGGAGCUUGUUGGGAAAGAUGGCCUCUUCAUGAAAGCUAUCACCGAAGGAUGAGUCCGCGGCCCAUCAGCUAGUUGGCGGGGUAAUGGCCCACCAAGGCUUAGACGGGUAGCUGGUCUGAGAGGAUGGCCAGCCACAUUGGGACUGAGAGACGGCCCAGACUCCUACGGGAGGCAGCAGUGGGGAAUCUUGCGCAAUGGGCGCAAGCCUGAUGCAGCGACGCCGCGUGAGUGAAGAAGGCCUUCGGGUCGUAAGCUC